GAGUGAUUAGGAUUAGAUACCCUAGUAAUUUCAGCCGUAAACGAUGAAAACUCACUGUCGAGCCAAUAUAUGGAGCGGUGGUCAAGCUAACGCGUGAAGUUUUCCGCCUGGGGAUUACGCUUGCAAAAGUGAAACUCAAAGGAAUUGACGGGGACCCGCACAAGCGGUGGAGUAUGUGGUUUAAUUCGAUGCAACGCGAAAAACCUUACCAGGGUUUGAAAUAAUUUCAAAACUUCUUGAAAGAGAAGCCUCCUUCGGGAUGGAAUUACAGGUGGUGCAUGGCUGUCGUCAGCUCGUGUUGUGAAAUGUCAAGUUAAGUCUUGUAACGAGCGCAACCCAUGUCUCUUGUUGCUGUUUACAGUGCUUAAGAGAAACUGCCGAUCAACAUCGGAGGAAGGUGUGGAUGAUGUCAAGUCAGCAUGCCCCUUACAUCCUGGGCUACACACGUACUACAAUGGUCGAGACAAAGGGUCGCUAACCUGCAAAGGCAUGCCAAUCUCAUAAACUCGAUCUCAGUUCGGAUUGUACUCUGCAACUCGAGUACAUGAAGGUGGAAUCGCUAGUAAUCGCUGGUCAGCAUACAGCGGUGAAUACGUUCCCGGGUCUUGUACACACUGCCCGUCACACCAUGGAAGUCGACCCUUCCCUAAGUCGUUACUCGAACCUGUAAAGGACGAGGACGCCGAAGGCAGAGUUGGUGACUAGGGUGAAGUCGUAACAAGGUAGCCGUACUGGAAGGUGUGGCUG
RNAcentral lists this ribosomal RNA (747 nucleotides) under marine metagenome. RNAcentral's name for it is "bacterial SSU rRNA". It matches the Rfam family "Bacterial small subunit ribosomal RNA", at positions 766 to 1520 of the family's 1533-position model. The record is from RNAcentral.